GAUGAACGCUGACAGAAUGCUUAACACAUGCAAGUCAACUUGAAUUUGGGUUUUUAACUUAGGUUUGGGUGGCGGACGGGUGAGUAACGCGUAAAGAACUUGCCUCACAGCUAGGGACAACAUUUGGAAACGAAUGCUAAUACCUAAUAUUAUGAUAAUAGGGCAUCCUAUAAUUAUGAAAGCUAUAAGCGCUGUGAGAGAGCUUUGCGUCCCAUUAGCUAGUUGGAGAGGUAACGGCUCACCAAGGCGAUGAUGGGUAGCCGGCCUGAGAGGGUGAUCGGCCACAAGGGGACUGAGACACGGCCCUUACUCCUACGGGAGGCAGCAGUGGGGAAUAUUGGACAAUGGACCAAGAGUCAGAUCCAGCAAUUCUGUGUGCACGAUGAAGUUUUUCGGAAUGUAAAGUGCUUUCAGUUGGGAAGAAAGAAAUGACGGUACCAACAGAAGAAGUGACGGCUAAAUACGUG
Molecule: ribosomal RNA, 467 nt
Filed under: uncultured bacterium
Lineage: Bacteria
Description: partial 16S ribosomal RNA
Rfam family: Bacterial small subunit ribosomal RNA
Source: RNAcentral